CCUACGGGAGGCAGCAGUGAGGAAUAUUGGUCAAUGGGCGCAAGCCUGACCCAGCAACGCCGCGUGAAGGAAGAAGGCUUUCGGGUUGUAAACUUCUUUUAAGAGGGAAGAGCAGAAGACGGUACCCCUUGAAUAAGCCACGGCUAACUACGUGCCAGCAGCCGCGGUAAUACGUAGGUGGCAAGCGUUGUCCGGAUUUACUGGGUGUAAAGGGCGUGCAGCCGGAGAGACAAGUCAGAUGUGAAAUCCACGGGCUCAACCCGUGAACUGCAUUUGAAACUGUUUCCCUUGAGGGUCGGAGGGGGGAUCGGAAUUCCUUGUGUAGCGGGGAAAUGGGUAGAUAGAAGGAAGAACACCAGUGGCGAAGGCGGAUUACUGGACGUAAACUGACGGUGAGGGGCGAAAGCGUGGGAGCAAACAGGAUUAGAUACCCCUGUAGUC
This 441-nucleotide ribosomal RNA is filed under the name uncultured bacterium. Its description in RNAcentral is "partial 16S ribosomal RNA". It matches the Rfam family "Bacterial small subunit ribosomal RNA", at positions 338 to 795 of the family's 1533-position model. The record is from RNAcentral.